RNAcentral lists this ribosomal RNA (365 nucleotides) under Plasmodium reichenowi. The stretch from base 261 to 365 matches the Rfam family "5.8S ribosomal RNA", at positions 1 to 100 of the family's 154-position model. Lineage: Eukaryota; Apicomplexa; Aconoidasida; Haemosporida; Plasmodiidae. The record is from RNAcentral.
AAAGAUAAUCAUAUAUACUUAGUUUUAUAUAUAUAUCGUAAUUCAUAAUAUAAUUAGCACAGUCUUAACGAUGGAUGUCUUGGUUCCUACAGCGAUGNNUUACCAAAUUUUCAUCAACAAUAUUGAAUUUUCAAUAUUUUGCAUAUAAUAUGUAUUUUUAUUGUUUAUAAUUAUUAUUUGUAGUUAAUUAUGUUUUGAAGAAAAGAUAAUCAUAUAUACUUAGUUUUAUAUAUAUAUCGUAAUUCAUAAUAUAAUUAGCACAGUCUUAACGAUGGAUGUCUUGGUUCCUACAGCGAUGAAGGCCGCAGCAAAAUGCGAUACGCAAUGAAAAUUGCNNNUAUAUAUAUCGUAAUUCAUAAUAUAAU